GCCGCCGCCCCCGCUCCCAGCAGCCCUUGCAACCGCCUACAAUGAAAUUUGCGAAGUUUUUUCGGUUUCGGCGCCAUUUUCGAGUGGACUCGGAGGUGAGGGACCAUCUGCCAAGUUUCAUCAUCUUCUGCUCUGAAGAAAUCCAAAGAACUCCAUUGCUCACCAUCAACUGCAAAAGAAUCGGGCUUCCAGAUCUGUCCCUUGUUGUUUAAAACUGGAUGAGAUGACAAUGCAAAAAAAUGGAAGUAACAAGAAGCAUCAUACUUUUCUUCUCCUCAGCAGUGUUGAGAAAAAACUGUGGAUCCUGGAAUUUUACUGUGGAUUUUACUGGUUUUCUGGAGUACUUUCCCAUUGAAACAGCGAUUGCCUUCUGUCCAGGGAGAGUCAACGCAGGAGGAGCCGAUGCGCCCGCGUUCAAAGGUGAGUUGGGAAGGUAAGCUCAUGUGCCCAGCCUGCUCCAAAAUACCUGCAACAUCUGCAUCCCUCUGGAUAAAUGCAGGUUUCUCUGAAGCAUGUAUCCCCUUCUUGGGCACUGCAGGUAACACCUCGGAGAGGUUGAGAGAAACUCUAAUCAUCCUGUUCACCUGUCAUCUUUCUGAUUUAAUAUUGAGAAUCCAAAGCACAAACUAAGUUUGAAAGAAGCAAAAGUGUGAGAUGGGGUGAUUCAAACACAGAGCUUUAUUGCUUAAAAUAAUUACGCUGUCAUGUCAUAAACAGGCAUAUUUUCUCAGAUACGUAUUUCACUGCCUAUCCCAAAUUUCCACUUGCCCAAUACGCAGUGUGAAUGUUGAUUUUUCUCUCUGCACUAGCGAAUAAGCUCGUGGAGGUGUAUUGAGCCCUCGCUUUGGAAAGUCCUCCUUACUGAAGAGGGCUCUUGCCCCUCUUGUCGAAGUAGGCUAAAGACUGGUUUCUAUAAAAACAUUAAUUAAAACGUGAACCUCAGACACAAUCAAAAUGGAUUCUAGAGCUGAGCUUGUUUGCUGUUGCCUUUUUUUUUUUUUUUUUUUUUUGAGUCACUUGAAGAGAUGAAAGAAAUAAGACUACACAGGUACAGUCAAGUAAAACAUUGUUACAGAAAUAAUUAAUGGUAAAAUUACGUGGGGGCUUGUUUUGUUUUAGCUUGUACAGGUUUAGCUUUCUCUGGGUACUUGGCUUUGCAGUAAGUAGCAGUUGUUCGUUAGAGAGUUGGACCUGGUGCUAUCGGUAUUGAGGACACUGAAGUGGUGAAAAAAUACUGCUUUUUUGUUGGCAAAUAUUUGAUUUAAAAUUUGCAAUAAUUUGGCACGGGUCAUGAGAGCUUUUGAAAUUCCUAUUUUUAAGUUUGCUAAACAGGGACUAGGAGGAGGACAAACUGGAACUCGGCUAACCGGCGUGUUUAGCGCAAGGGGACGGCACAAGCAUUUGAACUAAUGGCGUCAUUUCUGACAUUGUUCAGGUUUUUUUGUGAUGCUGCUUUUUAAGAAAAUGAAUUGAAGGAAGUUGUCACAUAACUGGGGGAAAAAAAAAGUCAAAAGGAAACACAAAAAAUGUCAGGCUAUCUGCACGGCUCCUGUAUAGCCCUCGCAGGCUGGCGUGUAAAUGCCUCUGGCAGCUGCGUGCUUCAGAGCUACAGCCUCCUUUCUGCCCUGUGCCGGUGUUUUCUUCUCUGGUACAGGCAGGAGAGGCGGUGAAGUUCCAGGGUAUCUUCAAUUUCUGGUCGUGUAAGGUUUGACCAUUGAAAUAGUAAAUAAUCAUAAUCGAGUCUUUAAAAAAAAAAAAAAAAGUUAUAUUUUAGAUUUCUCAAAAGUCAAAACAAGCAAAAUAAAAAUAUUUUAAGGAAAACUUCAGAGGUUUGAACUGUUGGAAUCUGGAUUUAAGUGUUAACAUUGCGACUCCCGGAAAGUCCUUCAUGUUCAGCAGCCCCUAAGAGGAAAGUACAAGGUAACAUUUCCCCCGAGACCGUUUGGGAGGGCCAGGAAGGUCUGUGGGAUCUGCUGCAAAAGCAGCAGGUCUGCUAGAUCUGACAGUGUAGACUUGCUGAGGCCCGAAUAUUUUUGUGGGUGGGGGGAACAGUUUAUUUCUGAUUUUGUUUCUGAAACUGGUUUGUUUGCACUGUGUAACUGCUUCUUCUCUUAUAGUUACAGACUUUCUGAUAGCACCCGUGAAGAAAAAAGUAUGUCCCGUGGUGGUAAUGCAUGCGUGUUAAAUGUCUUCAUUGUAGAGUGUUCUUCAGUACCUUAUAUCAUGGUUUAAAAAAAUAUAUAUAUAUAUUCAAAAUACCAUUUGGAAUGUCAACAUUCAGUGGGCUUUGAGGAGAUGUAGCAGCACAUCAUGGUUUGUAGGGACAAGGAGAUACAGACCAUUCUGGGCUGCCUCAUUACCUCAAGGAUAAGACAAGAAAGUGAGCUUCUGGUUAUCAUAGAUGUGGAAGCUAACACAUUCCCAUGUAUCUCUUUAGUUCAGUUGAACAGGUAUGUGUAGAUAAGUUCUCUUGGCGCUUGUGUCUGUGCACAUCCUUUGCAGCUACAAAUACAUUCCCUAUGAGUCUGCGUGUGUGCGUGUGUCUCAGCGGGGCUGGCCCUGCAGGCAGGGAGGACUUGUAGCUCCUUUUUGUUCUCCACCAUGGGCACGAUGGCCGAUGUUGGCUUGAGCUGGCGCCUUACCCCCGCACCUAUUGCUCUUCGGUCCUUUCCCUGGCAAAGGGUCAGCCAAGGUCCUCUGUUGCCCCGGGUUUGGGGGGGGAAGGGGGGGUCUGGAGGCCGUGGAGAGGCGCUAGGAUGGAGAGCUGUCAGCAGUGCUCUAGCAGCACGUAAAUACUGGAGUUUGGGAUUGCCUGUUGCUCUCCAGUAUUGCAUUGCUGCUUUAGUGAGGCUGGAAAUCGGUCCCUGCCGCAGGAGCUGGGGCUCUGGCUCUUGGGGUGCCGCCUCGGCACCCCCCCGGUGCCUUCCACGCUGCUGCUCGGGGGCUCUCAUCUCCCACACCAAUAAACCACUGCGGAGGCAGCAACGAA
Molecule: RNA transcript, 2989 nt
Organism: Aquila chrysaetos chrysaetos
Lineage: Eukaryota; Metazoa; Chordata; Aves; Accipitriformes; Accipitridae
Exons: 4
Source: RefSeq, a predicted model, not a curated record